Molecule: ribosomal RNA, 425 nt
Filed under: uncultured bacterium
Lineage: Bacteria
Description: partial 16S ribosomal RNA
Rfam family: Bacterial small subunit ribosomal RNA
Source: RNAcentral
GUGGGGAAUAUUGCACAAUGGGGGAAACCCUGAUGCAGCAACGCCGCGUGAGUGAUGACGGUCUUCGGAUUGUAAAGCUCUGUCUUCAGGGACGAUAAUGACGGUACCUGAGGAGGAAGCCACGGCUAACUACGUGCCAGCAGCCGCGGUAAUACGUAGGUGGCAAGCGUUGUCCGGAUUUACUGGGCGUAAAGGGAGCGUAGGUGGAUAUUUAAGUGGGAUGUGAAAUACUCGGGCUUAACCUGGGUGCUGCAUUCCAAACUGGAUAUCUAGAGUGCAGGAGAGGAAAGUAGAAUUCCUAGUGUAGCGGUGAAAUGCGUAGAGAUUAGGAAGAAUACCAGUGGCGAAGGCGACUUUCUGGACUGUAACUGACACUGAGGCUCGAAAGCGUGGGGAGCAAACAGGAUUAGAAACCCCGGUAGUCC